RNAcentral lists this ribosomal RNA (1262 nucleotides) under endophytic bacterium sh756. Its description in RNAcentral is "partial 16S ribosomal RNA". The stretch from base 1 to 838 matches the Rfam family "Bacterial small subunit ribosomal RNA", at positions 41 to 873 of the family's 1533-position model. The record is from RNAcentral.
GGCAUGCGAGCUACCUGCAGUCGGACGGUAGCACAGAGAACUUGGUUCUUUGUGAGACGAGUGGCACACGGGUGAAAAGUGUCUGGGUCUCUGCCCGAUAGAGGGAGAUAACCUGUGGAAACGGUGUCUAAUACCGUAUAAUGUCACAAGACCAAAGAGGGAGAUCUUCGGCUCUCUCUCUCUCAUAUGACCCCAUAUGGUUUUAUCUAGUACGCGGUAUAGUGCCCCCUCUACGACAAUAUCCCUAUGUGCUCUGAGAAGAAGACCACCCACUGUGGAUCUGACACACGCCCCACACUCCUACGGGAGGCAACAGUGGAAAAUUUUGCACAGUGGGCGCACGCCUGAUGCACCCGUGCCGCGUGUAUGAAAAAGGUCUUCGGUGUGUAAAGUUUUUUCCGCGGGGAAGAGGGCUGUGCGUUUAAUACCCGCCGCUAGUGACUUUACCCGCAGAAGACGCCCCGGAUAUCUCCGUGCCCAGACCCGCGAUAAUACAGAGUGUGAGCGCGUUACUCAGAUAUAGUGCGCAUAGAGCGCACGCGGGGUCUGUGAUGACUGAGAUGUGAUCUCCCCGGUCUUACUGUGAGCUCUGCAUGAGACUCUGAGGGGCGUGACUCGUGUAGAGGGGUAUAAAAUUAGGUGUGUAGCGGAGAAGUGCAUAGAGAUCUGGAAGAAUACCUGUGGAGAGCGGCCCCCCGUGCACAGAGAGUGACUCUCGUGUGCAAAAGCGUGGAGAGAAAACGGGAAGAGACACUGUGAGUCUACACGGCAUACACGAUGUCGACGGGGGGGUGCCCCUUGAAGAGUGUCCCCAGAUCUCACGUUAAACUACACCCCUGGAGACACGGCAAAUUUAAUCUCAUAAGAUUGACGGCCCCGCAAAGGGGGAUGUGUGUUUAUUCUGUGCACGAGAAAUUUACCACUCUGACCCCAGGAUUCACAAUGUCUUUAGCGUCUCGGACGAGCACAGUGUGCGGUGUGUCUCUCUCGUGUGAAAUGUGUUACUCCGCAGAGCACACCCUAUCUUUGUGCCGCUAUCCCGAACUCAGAGAAUGCGUAAACGAGAGAGGGGAGAGACUCACUCUCGGCUUCGAUGGCACCCGCGCACAUGCGACCAGAAAGCACUCCGAGACACGACUCAAAGGCGCAACCGGACGAUUGACUCAUCCGGAUCGAUGUAUACGGAUAAAUGCCGGAAAGUCCGGCUGUCACCCCCCCUCCCCUGAAGGGGAAGAGAGGAUUAUCUCGAGGGCUCCCUUGAA